AGGCCUAACGGCGUCUCGCCGGCUCCAAGACAACGGACCGCCUCUGGUACGACGUCUACGGCGGGCGCCGAGACCCAAAGUUCCUCGAGGCUGGAUCUCAGCUGACUGGAGCAAGAGAGACUCUCCUGCUUGCCUUGAAGAAGCCACCUGCUAUGAUGCCGCCUUUAGGGCCAGCGGUCUCACGUCCUAUAGGUGCAAGGAGCUGAAAUCUGCCAACAACCUGAAUGACCUUGGAAGCAGAUCUUUCCCCGGGAAAACUUCUGAUGAGGCCUUAGCCCCAGGAAAUAUCUGGAUUGAAGCCUGGUUGUGACCCUAAGCAGAAAACCCAGUGUCCAAGUUAUGAGAGAGCCACAUGUCUAGGAACUGAGGGCAGCCUUUAAGAGCUGAGAGCCAGCAAGAAAACAAUAACUCCAGUCAUCCAACCACAAGGAACCAGUUCUGUUAAGGAACCUGAUUGAGCCUGGAAGGGGACCCCAAACCUCACAUGAGAUCACAUCCCUGCAGACACCUUGAUGCCAGGGCUUCCCUGGUGGCACAGUGGUUAAGAAUCCACCUGCCAAUGCAGGGGACACAGGUUCGAGCCCUGGUUCUGGAAGAUCCCACAUGCCACGGAGCAACUAAGCCCGUGCACCACAACUACUGAGCCUGCGCUCUAGAGCCCGCAAGCCACAACUACUGAAGCCUGCGUGCCUAGAGCCCGUGCUCUGCAACAGGAGAAACCACCGCAAUGAGAAGCCUGCACACCGCCACAAAGAGUAGCCUCCGCUCGCUGCAACUAGAGAAAGCCCACACAUAGCAACGAAGACCCAAUGCAGCCAAAAAUAAAUAAAUAAAAUAAAUUUAUUUAAGAAAUUAUAUACUAUAUAUACUCCUCUGUAUCUGGCUUCUUUCAUUUUGCAGAAUGUUUUGAGGUUCAUCCAUAUUGAUACAUGUAUCAGUAAUUUGCUCCUUUUUACUGCUGUCUUAUUUUGCAUUCUAUGGAUAUACUGCAGUUUGUUUCACAUGUUGGACAUUUGGGUCAUUUCCAGUUAUCAUAAUAAAGUUGCCAAUAGCAAUCAUGCAUAAGUCUUUUUAUGGAUAUAGAUUUUAAUUUCUUUUGAGUAAAUUCCUAGGAGUGGAAUUACUGGGUCGUAUGGUAGGUGUAUUUUUAACUGCCAUCUGUUUUCCAUAACAGUUGUACCAUUUUACAUUCUCACCAACAAUGUAUCUCCAUCAUUUGUCAAUCUGUUCAAUUUUGCCAUUCCAUUGGGUACGUAGUGGUACCUCAUUAUGGUUUUAACAUGUAUUUCCCUGAUGACUAAUGGUAUUAAUCGUCUUUUCGUGUGCUGAUUGAACAUUUGUAAAUCCUUUUUGUAAAUUGUCUGUUUAUGUCAUUUCACAUUUUUUAAUAGGUUGUUUGGUUUCGUAUUAUUGAAUUUUGUGAGAGCAAAGUCCUUUGUUAGAUAUGUGUAUUGAGAAUAUCUUCUCUCAGUCUCUGGCUUGCCUUUCCAUUUCUUAAUUUUUUUCUUCCAAAGAGCAGAAGUGUUUAGUUCUUAAUGUUAAUGAAGUUUAAUUGAUCAUUUUUUCUUUUCUAUUUAAUAUUUUCUGUGUACUGAGUAAUCUUUCUCAACCCGAGAUCACAACAGUUUUCUUCUAGAAGUCUUAACAGUUUUAGAUUUUCAUUUAUGUAUAUGAUCUGUUUCAGGUUAAUUUUAAUGUAUGAUAUGAGGAAAGGUAGAGGUUCAUUUUUGUCCCUCAUGAGAUUCCUUUAUUUUCUAUAUGAAUAUUCAUUUAUUCUAGCACCACUUUUUUUGUUGAAGUAUAGUUGAUAUACAAUAUUAUUGGGUUGGCCAAAAAGUGCCUUUGGUUUUUAAGUAAAAAUAAAAGACACAUUUUUCAUUUUCACCAAUAAUUUUAUUGAACAACAUAUUCACCAUUUUGUUCCACUACCUUCUGCCAUUUUUCAGGCAACUUCAUAAUUCUGUCUUCCCAAAACUUUUUAUCUUUUUGAGCAAAGAACUCUUCCAGGUGCCUUUUACAGUCUUCCAGGGAAUUGAAAUUUUUUCCAUUAAGAGAAUUUUGUAAAGACCAAAAUAAAUGGAAACCCGAAGGUAUAAUGUCUCAUGAAUACGGCGGAUGAAUCAGAACUUCCCAGCCAAGCUGUAACAGUUUUUGCCUGGUCAUCAAAGAAACAUGCGGUCUGGCGUUACCCUGAUGGAUGAUUAUGUGUUUUCUGUCGACUAAUUCUGGACACUUUUCGUCGAGUGCUGCUUUCAGCUGGUCUAAUUGGGAGCAGUACUUGUUGAAAUUAAUCGUUCGGUUUUCGGGAAGGAGCUCAUAAUAGAGGACUCCCUUUCAAUCUCACCAUAUACAUAACCUCACCUUCUUUGGAUGAAGACUGGACUUUGGUGUGGUUGGUGGUGGUUCAUUUCGCUUGCCCCACGAUCUCUUCUAUUCCACAUUAUUGUACAGUAUCCACUUUUCAUCGCCCAUCACAAUUUGUUUUAAAAACGGAACGUUUUCUUUACAUUUAAGUAGACAAUUGCAUGCAUAAAUACGGUCAAGGUUUUUUUUUUUUUUUUUUUUUGCUUAACUUAUGUGGAACCCAAACAUCAAAGCGUUUAACAUAACCAAGCUGGUACAAAUGAUUUUCAACACUUGAUUUGGAUAUUUUGAGUAGGUCGGCUAUCUCCCGCGUGGUAUAACAUUGCUUGUUCUCAGUUAAUGUCUCGAUUUGAUUGCUGUCAACUUCAACUGGUCUACCGACCGUGGAGCAUUGUCCAGUAAGAAAUCUCCAGCGUGAAACUUCGCAAACCACUUUUGACAUGUUCGAUCAGUCACA
Kogia breviceps (pygmy sperm whale) is the source of this 2821-nucleotide non-coding RNA. NCBI's taxonomy places the organism in Eukaryota, Metazoa, Chordata, Mammalia, Artiodactyla, Physeteridae. The record is from RefSeq and is a predicted model, not a curated record.